Molecule: ribosomal RNA, 253 nt
Filed under: uncultured bacterium
Lineage: Bacteria
Description: partial 16S ribosomal RNA
Rfam family: Bacterial small subunit ribosomal RNA
Source: RNAcentral
UACGGAGGGUGCAAGCGUUAUCCGGAUUUACUGGGCGUAAAGGAUGCGUAGGCGGACAUUUAAGUCAGAUGUGAAAUACCCGAGCUUAACUUGGGUGCUGCAUUUGAAACUGGGUGUCUAGAGUGCAGGAGAGGUAAGUGGAAUUCCUAGUGUAGCGGUGAAAUGCGUAGAGAUUAGGAAGAACACCAGUGGCGAAGGCGACUUACUGGACUGUAACUGACGCUGAGGCAUGAAAGCGUGGGGAGCAAACAGG